CGAUUGAAUGGCUCGGUGAGGCCUUCGGACUGGCCCAGGGAGGUCGGCAACGACCACCCAGGGCCGGAAAGUUGGUCAAACCCGGUCAUUUAGAGGAAGUAAAAGUCGUAACAAGGUCUCCGUAGGUGAACCUGCGGAGGGAUCAUU
RNAcentral lists this ribosomal RNA (147 nucleotides) under Cladosporium tenuissimum. RNAcentral describes it as "partial 18S ribosomal RNA". It matches the Rfam family "Eukaryotic small subunit ribosomal RNA", at positions 1686 to 1830 of the family's 1831-position model. Lineage: Eukaryota; Fungi; Ascomycota; Dothideomycetes; Cladosporiales; Cladosporiaceae. The record is from RNAcentral.